This 262-nucleotide ribosomal RNA is filed under the name uncultured bacterium. RNAcentral describes it as "partial 16S ribosomal RNA". It matches the Rfam family "Bacterial small subunit ribosomal RNA", at positions 793 to 1055 of the family's 1533-position model. The record is from RNAcentral.
GUCCACGCCGUAACGAUGAAUGCUAGCCGUCGGGAGCAUGCUCUUCGGUGGCGCAGCCAACGCAAUAAGCAUUCCGCCUGGGAGUACGAUCGCAAGAUUAAAACUCAAAGGAAUUGACGGGGCCCGCACAAGCGGUGGAGCAUGUGGUUCAAUUUGAAGCAACGCGCAGAACCUUACCAGGCCUUGACAUCCCGGUCGCGGCCCCUUGAAAGAGGGGCCUUCAGUUCGGCUGGACCGGUGACAGGUGCUGCAUGGCUGUCGU